CNGACCNGCCCCGUGAAAAUAUUUUAACGGCCGCGGUAUAUUGACCGUGCAAAGGUAGCAUAAUCAUUAGUCUUUUAAUAGAGGGCUGGAAUGAAGGGUUUAACGAAGUACUUACUGUCUCAUUUAAUUUGAUAUUAAAAUUUACUUUUUCAGUCAAAAAGCUGAAAUAUUAUUGGAAGACGAGAAGACCCUAUAGAGCUUUAUAUUUAUUUAUUUAAUAAAUUUUUGAUAAGAUUAUUAUUUAUUAUUUAAUAAAAUAUUUUGUUGGGGUGACAAAAAUAUAUAAUUAACUUUUUUAUUUAUAUAACAUUGAUAUAUGAAAAAUAGAUCCAGUUUUACUGAUUAUUAGAAUAAGUUACCUUAGGGAUAACAGCGUAAUCUUCCUUUAGAGUUCAUAUUCACAGGGAGGCUUGCGACCUCGAUGUUGGAUUAAGAUUAUAAUUAGGUGUAGCCGCUUAAAAAAUAGGUCUGUUCGACCUUUAAAUUCUUACAUGAUCUGAG
Molecule: ribosomal RNA, 501 nt
Filed under: Kalyptogaster erronea
Lineage: Eukaryota; Metazoa; Arthropoda; Insecta; Odonata; Cordulegastridae
Description: partial 16S ribosomal RNA
Rfam family: Bacterial large subunit ribosomal RNA
Source: RNAcentral